Molecule: ribosomal RNA, 406 nt
Filed under: uncultured bacterium
Lineage: Bacteria
Description: partial 16S ribosomal RNA
Rfam family: Bacterial small subunit ribosomal RNA
Source: RNAcentral
AUCGAACGCUGGCGGCAGGCCUAACACAUGCAAGUCGAACGAGUGGCGGACGGGUGAGUACUUUCUGGGAAACUGCCCAAUGGAGGGGGAUAACUACUGGAAACGUUAGCUAAUACCGCAUACCCUCGGAUGUGCCCUGAUGGGAUUAGCUAGUAGGUGGGGUAAUGGCUCACCUAGGCGACGAUUCCUAGCUGGUCUGCGAGGCUGACCAGCCACACUGGAACUGAGACACGGUCCAGACUCCUACGGGAGGCAGCAGUGGGGAAUAUUGCACAAUGGGCGAAAGUCUGAUGCAGCCAUGCCGCGUGUAUGAAGAAGGCCUUCGGGUUGUAAAGUACUUUCAGCGGGGAGGCGUUACCCGAAGAAGAAGCACCGGCUAACUCCGUGCCAGCCGCCGCGGUAAUUC